UUGGAGGGCAAGUCUGGUGCCAGCAGCCGCGGUAAUUCCAGCUCCAAUAGCGUAUAUUAAAGUUGUUGCAGUUAAAAAGCUCGUAGUUGAAUUUCGGGGUUAGUAGGUUGGUCAUGCCUCUGGUAUGUACUGGUCUCUCUGAUUCCUCCUUCCUGAUGAACCUUAAUGCCAUUAAUUUGGUGUUUUGGGGAAUUUGGACUGCUACUUUGAAAAAAUUAGAGUGUUUAAAGCAAGCUAACGCUUGAAUACAUUAGCAUGGAAUAAUGAAAUAGGACGUUCGAUCCUAUUUUGUUGGUUUCUAGGAUUGACGUAAUGAUUAAUAGGGAUAGUUGGGGGCAUUAGUAUUCAAUUGUCAGAGGUGAAAUUCUUGGAUUUAUUGAAGACUAACUACUGCGAAAGCAUUUGCCAAGGAUGUUUUCAUUAAUCAAGAACGAAAGUUAGGGGAUCGAAGACGAUCAGAUACCGUCGUAGUCUUAACCAUAAACUAUGCCGACUAGGGAUCGGAUGAUGUUAAUUUUUUAAUGACUCAUUCGGCGCCUUACGGGAAACCAAAGUGUUUGGGUUC
RNAcentral lists this ribosomal RNA (565 nucleotides) under uncultured Glomeromycotina. RNAcentral describes it as "SSU rRNA". It matches the Rfam family "Eukaryotic small subunit ribosomal RNA", at positions 548 to 1114 of the family's 1831-position model. The record is from RNAcentral. Lineage: Eukaryota; Fungi; Glomeromycota.